GAGACCCACGCCAACAGUUGCCAGCAUGUCCUCCGGGAUGGUGGGGACACUGUUGGGACCGCCUCUGCUAAAGAGGAGGAAGGAAUGGGCAACGGUAGGUCAGCAUGCCCCGAAUUAUCCGGGCUACACGCGGGCUACGAUGGUCAGGACAAUGGGUAUCGACACCGAGAGGUGAAGGCAAUCUCUUAAACCUGUCCUUAGUUCGGAUUGUGGGCUGCAACUCGCCCACAUGAAGCUGGAAUCCGUAGUAAUCGCGUCUCAAAAUGGCGCGGUGAAUAU
Molecule: ribosomal RNA, 279 nt
Filed under: uncultured archaeon
Lineage: Archaea
Description: partial 16S rRNA
Rfam family: Archaeal small subunit ribosomal RNA
Source: RNAcentral